Long non-coding RNA from Chenopodium quinoa (quinoa), 1361 nucleotides. RefSeq lists it as uncharacterized. The record is from RefSeq and is a predicted model, not a curated record. The transcript is spliced from 3 exons. Lineage: Eukaryota; Viridiplantae; Streptophyta; Magnoliopsida; Caryophyllales; Amaranthaceae.
UCGAGAGAAGGCAAAAAUGAAUACUUCAAGAUAUUGAGGAGGUCGAAAAGGGUACUUGUAUUAUGAACAAGAGAUUGUAAGUUUAGCAAUGAUUAUUUUUAUUCUUGUUGAUUUUGUUUAAAGAAUAACAGUAAAUAUAUAAUUAACGGAUGACUUUUUGUUUUUAAAUGGCAUUUUGUUAUCUAUAUUGUCAAGCUGCUGAAUUUCAGAAACAAGGAGUGCAAGUUAGAGACGAGCCUCGACAUUUGGUUUGGAUAAGAGCUCAUUCCAGACAAAAAGAUGGUGUUAUGACCUUUGACAAUCCUGCCGAUUUUGAAAUAGCUCAAACAAUUAAAGCAUUGGAGGCUCAAAAAAUCCAAGGAGAAAUUGAGACCACUGGCUGAAAUGAUAUCUUAGCGAGAGCAUUAAAGAAUCUUGAACAUGGUGGUUGUGUUAAGGGCGUUAGAUCGAGUGUUACAAAUAAGUUGUACUUUGGUUACAACAAACCAACACAACAAAGUCAAUUGCAAUCAGAUCUUAAGUGUCUCAAAUCAAAAUUAGAAAAUGUGGUUAACACUCAAAAUUUGUUAUUGUCUUACUUAAUGUCAAGUGGUCAGGUUAACGCAGAGCAAUUGAAAGAAUUUGGUGUUUCAAAUGGCAACCAAGUUGGCCAUCAGUUAGCGGGUAUCCAAGUUGGUGGAUCUGGUGGUCAAGGUUUAGGUGGCCUUAGCUUGGGUCAUGACCAAUGCCUUCAAGGUCUUUGCUUUCAACUUGCCUCAGAGCAAAACAAAGUUACCCAUCAGUUAGAAAGUAUCCAAAAGGGUGGUUUUGGUGGUGAAGAGUUAGAUGAUCAUUUAGAUUGCUUUGGCUUUGGAGGUGACCAAAGGGUUCGAGGUUUCAACUUCCAAGAGUAGAAUUUUCAAGUGUUUGAGGUUCAACCUGAGCCAUACCAUGUUGUGUGGCCUGAGGAGGAAUAUGUGCCAGAAAAUGAGAAUUUGGCAACGCAUGUACUUAAUAAUGAACAAGACAUUACUGGCCAACCAUUUCCAAAGGGAGUUGAUAGUCUUUGUUCCUUGGCAAUUAAGAGUGACAAAGGGGUCAAUAUAGUUGCUAUUGGAGAAUUGUAUGUUGAGAUGGAAGAAGUUGUCAAGCAUCAUUUCAAGCCCAUCCCAACUGGUCAUUAUCGAGUUUGUGUUAAAGAAGAAAUCAACCCAAAUGCACCUUUGCCAUGUCCUGAAGGGGAGAUAAAAUUCAUUUGUCAAACAAAGAAUUAUUAUUUAAUAUGGCCUUCUCACUUGUUUUUUCCUAUAAAGAAGGUAAAAUUCAGUUUUAAAUUAUAAUUAUCUGUCACAAUAUAUAAUACGAUCAUUCUUUUUUUUUUU